Molecule: ribosomal RNA, 433 nt
Filed under: uncultured bacterium
Lineage: Bacteria
Description: partial 16S ribosomal RNA
Rfam family: Bacterial small subunit ribosomal RNA
Source: RNAcentral
AACGAACGCUGGCGGCAUGCCUAACACAUGCAAGUCGAACGAGACCUUCGGGUCUAGUGGCGCACGGGUGCGUAACGCGUGGGAACUUGCCCUUAGGUUCGGAAUAACUCCCCGAAAGGGGUGCUAAUACCGGAUAUUGUCUUCGGACCAAAGAUUUAUCGCCUUUGGAUGGGCCCGCGUUGGAUUACCUAGUUGGUAGGGUAAAAGCCUACCAAGACGACGAUCCAUAGCUGGUCUGAGAGGAUGAUCAGCCACACUGGGACUGAGACACGGCCCAGACUCCUACGGGAGGCAGCAGUGGGGAAUAUUGGACAAUGGGCGAAAGCCUGAUCCAGCAAUGCCGCGUGAGUGAUGAAGGCCUUAGGGUUGUAAAGCUCUUUUACCCGGGAUGAUAAUGACAGUACCGGGAGAAUAAGCGCCGGCUAACUCCGUG